AAAAUCCGUUGGCUUUAUUGGCCGUGAGGGUUCAAGUCCCUCUACCCCCA
This 50-nucleotide transfer RNA is filed under the name Brymela tutezona. Its description in RNAcentral is "partial tRNA-Leu". Lineage: Eukaryota; Viridiplantae; Streptophyta; Bryopsida; Hookeriales; Callicostaceae. The record is from RNAcentral.